GAAGUGGGAGGAAAACAGUUAACUCUCCAGUCGCGAUGAUCAAGUCACUCGCCAAGUGGCGUACAUCAGUCGCGCCGGUCCUGACACGGUGCUCUCCUAAAGACUAAUGCUGUUGUUGCUCACGCUUAGAUACUAAUUCUGUUUACCACUGGGAUAUAUCGCCAACGACAGUUAGGGACACUGAUGCGGCGUUACCUUCGUGGGUAUCAUUGAAUGCGUCUGUUACCACGGCUUAACAAAUGAAACAUGAGCGUUCCGGGAAUAUGGUCGACGUUCAACAUAACUUAUUUACUCUGGACUGGUGUUAUCGUAGGCCUCCUCCACAUCCAGACAUGCAUAGGCUGUCCAGACGACGCCGUCACACAUGUAUACGCAUGUUUAGGAAAUCUUGUCGGCGAAGACGGAAAAAUAAAGGUCUUGGCGGGUGAUGACGCAAAAGAGUUUUUACCAAAAGUGCUUAGACGGAAGCGUUGAUAUAACUAUCCAUUGCGUCCAGAACGUUUUAACUCAGUGUCGAGGACCCCCACAGGAAAAUGCACUUGAAGAGUACACUGGACCCAGCUGCUGAUGAAGAAAGCAUUUGAUACAGCAUGCGAGAAGAAAGAGCAUUACUUGAAAACAUCCGCCUGUGUUUCGGGAUAUAAAGACAGGAUACAGACCGUGUUGCAAGUCGAUGCAAAAACAGUUUUUAGCCGCAAAGGAUGAAGCCUACACAAAAGAAAAAUAUAUGGAUCUUAUGUGCAGUUUUAUUCACGGUAUAACGCGCUGCACUGAAUCCCCAUAAGGGUUGUACUGCGACGCGGUAACAGCCAGAACUAUAGUGGACUUUAUGUCUGGGGUUACACCCGUCACGUGCAUUCCGUAUUCAAACAAGGCUCAGACAGGACGCUACCGAGUGUUUUAAGCCUGAUGUUUCUGCUCCUGCUUUCUUGGAUUAUUAACGUCUAGGAUAUCUGGCUGUGUUUUCACAUUGUUCACCUUACGUUUCGCCGAGUUGGUAUGACCAACAGUGUUCAUCUUGCCAACAAAGACAUAAAUGUGUCAUCUUCUACAACAAACAGUACUUUCUUAUGAACGUUUCAACAUAUCGUUGUUUAUCACAUAAGAUCAUUAACGAUGUUCGGCUGGAAUUCUGAUCUGUUUCUGUUGCAGUGAUGACGCUUUACACUUCAUCAUUAUGGAAAAGAAAAUAUAUACUUCCCACAGAGGAAGGCGAUCGUGGAUCAUACUGGUAUUGCAUCAAUGGCAAUGUGACAUGAAAUGAUGUGAAUUGAAGAAUUGAAUUAUUUCGCUUAUAUUUUGAAAGAAAGUGUGCCAAAAUAUGAUCUUCACGGAAAGCUGUAUAUAUACUUUUGGUGGGAUAGCUGAAAGAUACUUUGAUUUUUUAUGAGUGUGUUUCAAGCAGUUUGGUUUUCCUGUUCGGUAUGGCGAGUAAAAUCGAGCUGCACAGCCUGACUUGAUGGCGUGCGAAACGUACAUUAUUUAUUAUGCAGAGGAGCCUGCAUCUUGGUGCUCACGAACUUUUAAAUCCACAUCCUGUAAGAUUCCUAAAUAAAUUCUUACAGCAAAGCUAAAGAAACUUCUUUCACCUUUGGUAUCACUGUUUCUAUAUAUGUAUAAAUGCUAUUAGACUUAAAUGUGGUACAUGUAAACGUAGGUAUACGUCGUGUUACAGAAUAGAAUGCACAUUGAAGGAGUGCAUUUAAUCAAAACAUAAGUACAUUCAACCAAAACCAAUAUGUGGCACCGACGUAUUUCUCACCGUUUUAAUGAGAUUAUACACCAUUACUUUUUGGGGAUUUUCUGAAUUAGUUUUGUAUAAUUACUUUCGUAACGUCCUUUAACUUUUGUUUCAAGCUCAAAGAAAUUGUCAGGAUCUUUUCAACCACUCUCCUUAUAAAUUUCUUUGUAAAUAUUGCAAUGUAAUAAACUAUUAUAGAGUAGUGACAUUAAGAACUAACCGUCCACUUGGUUCGAAUUUUUGACGCUAUGCAAAUUCACUGCUCGUCUGGUCAUAUUUUGU
Long non-coding RNA from Liolophura sinensis, 2023 nucleotides. RefSeq lists it as uncharacterized. Lineage: Eukaryota; Metazoa; Mollusca; Polyplacophora; Chitonida; Chitonidae. The record is from RefSeq and is a predicted model, not a curated record. The transcript has 5 exons.